CGCGGUUGGUGCGGCUCCGCCGGCCCAGAGUGACGUCAGCGACGCGGCUCCGCUCCACCACAAUCAAAGUUGUCGCUAACACGCCGGGAAAAGGGAAGAGCCGGUCCUCUCGCUCCGGCCCCGGGAGACCGCGACCCGCAGGCGUGAGGCGGCGUGAGCCGCGGCUUCAGGGUUGUCUACAUACCCCGCUGCGCGCCGUCGUUUUGUGCCUGCGGGAAAAGUUCGCGCCGUGCGCGCCUCCCGCCCGCGGCAACGGGGCAUGGCCGCAGCGGUCGCGUUCCCGGGACGGAUCUCGGCCGGGAGGAACGGCCGCAGCCUGCGGUCGCCGCUUCACUGCAGGUAAGGUCGGGUAGGAAAAAAGCAAAUAGCGACAAAGGUGCUUUGCUACAGCGGCCAUCGACAGCGCGAGAAGGCGACCCGUGUUCACGAGAAGACAUUUUCAAGAAACCGAACAGGUCAGAGAUUGCAGCGGAAGCGAGGGCCAACUUUUGUACUUCGUGAGAACAGGAUAAAUCCCAACAGAACCAGCGAAGCGAGGCAGGCAGGGAAGUUACCACCAUGCGGAAGCUCUGAGGUUUACGGGCUGUUGGCACAGGCACUUAAAAAAAAAAAAAGGAGGGGGAGUUAAGGAGCCUUGGCCUGAGCCAGCCCCGGCCUGGCCAUCGGGAAAGCGGAGGGGGCUGCGCUGCACAGCUGCAGCCCUUGGCGCUACGCACCUGGUAUCCUCUUUUUUCCUUUUUCUUGGGUUUUUUUUUUUUUCAUCGUCUCAAACUCAGCCGGGGCUGAAGUGCACUUCAAGAGCCAAGAACUGCUCUUUAUAAGCCGUAACAGCUGAGAUUAAGAUGACGCCGUAGCACAACAAACACCCGAGUUAGUUCAGGAUGAACUACAUAGAACAGCAUCUUCAGAACUCAGAAACGUUUGCUUCCUUUCCCCAGUCAACACACGCAUUUUGAAGUCAACAUUAUUUCUAAAUAGAGCUGAUCUCAGCAUAAAGAAAUAUGUGCAGGCAGAAAGAUGCCAUUGUUUUCCGUUUCCUCUUGAGCCACUGUGGCUGUGAUUUUCAUUGUGGCAGAGGAUCUUCAUUAGUAUUAACACAUGGGUAGACUUCAUAAAGCUGCUUCAUUAGCAGGGAAAAAAAAAAGCUUGGCAGCCGUGCUCUUUUUGCAUGAGAUGAGAAUGUCAGCCUUACCUCGGUCAUUUGUAACAUAAUAAGUGCAAGCACAAUGAUUGCAAUGCGGGAACACUGGGGGAAGGGCAAAAAUGCUGCAUAAUACAAAAACAAGAAAAAAAAAGGUGCUCAUUAUACAGUAAAACGUGCUAAAAAUUAGUGAAGAUGACAUCUCAUGAGACUUCAUGCUAAAUAAAUUAAUGUGCUGAUAUGUUUUUAAUUAUUAUUUUUGUACCAGCUUAUUUCAUUCCCAGGAUUCACAUCAGGCAGCAAAGGCUUGCUAGCAUUUAUUGAUUCCCCCCCCCCACCACAUUCCCAGAAUGCAGGCUUUAAUCAUUUCACUGCACCACACUCAGUAAUUUCAUUAAAAACUGGAACCUUCCAUCUUCAGAAAGGCAUUUAAUUUCAAUGACACACAAUUUCUCUUAGCAGCAAACCAUCUCAACAGUAAAAGCUGGCCUAAGGUUCAAAUGCAUAAUUUAGUCCUGAGUUCCCCAUGCUCUGCAUUCCUUUGAAGCUGUAAUUUGACUAACUACCUAAUAACUGUAAUAAGGACAAUGAUUUCCUUAUAAUAUGUUAUUAACCCAUAUUUAAUGAACUCAGAGGCCAAGCUCUGUACAUGUUUGGGUCAGUACCUCUCUAACCUCAAAAUUUUCUAACGAUGUUCUUAGGAAAAAAAAGCAUGGGAUAAGAGUGAGUAUAUACCUAUACUCAUGCCUGUUUUGCUCAAGAUAAUAAUAUUGUAACUUACAUAACAGGAUUCUACAACAAGAGAAACAAGCACUGCAUGAAGGUAACUAUCAAAUGUACUGCCUCAUGUAUAUAUUUUCCAUAUCUGCCUAUAACACUUCAAGUAAAUUCUCUUACCUACUCUUAUUGCCACUACUCUAAAUAACCAUUCUAAAUAUUUUUUUUUUUCCUAUGUGUAAGUCAAACUGUGUAGUACCUCGUGAGAAACAGAGGUGUGUUUGGGUAGCAUUACAGAAUCCUUGUUUCCUGUAACACUCAGCAGGACAGACUUGAAUCUGCUUGAAGACAGAACCACAGACCUGACAACAUAACUACUUCACAAAGUUCAGUCAACAAUCCAAAUUGAAACUACUGGGAUGCAUUUGAUGUCAAAAUCAAGUAUAUUAAUAAUAUCUAAUUGCACUGAAUAUUAAUUUUCCCUUCAGAAAACAGUUUAAAACAACUUUGGGUCACUACAGAGUUUUUUCUAAUCUACACCAAAAUGUUCUAAAAUUGUUUUUCCAUUGGACACAAAUAGAUUGGUUUUAAUACUGCAAAACUUACUGAGGUUUUGAAAUUCUAUUAACAGUAUUCUUCUAGUAAGAGUAUUUGUAGAAAAUUGUUGCUAGAGGAUGCUACUAAUGAAUUUCAACUGAUCAGCUAUUAGAUAAGAAGUGUUCCUAGGGUCCUGAUAUGUGCUUUCUGCAGCCAUAUUAAAGCUGUAAUUCUCAACUUGAAAAAAAUGCAAAUUCAAAUUGCGUCAUGUAUACUAUAUUAAAAAAAUAAGGUCUUGUUUGUUUUGAUUUCUAAGAUAAAUUAAUUGCAAAUGUAGUUAACCUCCCCAGUUUCUUGAGGCUUCCAGUGUAGGUGUCUUAAAUAUAAACACACAGGAAGAGUAUUCUUUGGUAGUUUCAUUCAUCUGUUCUUAUGCUUACCAACCUUAUAAAUAUUUCUUCAAUAGUUUCACCCACCAUUACAUUCAUAAACUUAACUGGUGAACUGGGAGAAAAGAAGUGAAGCAAGCUCCAUAUCCACAGGCAUAGCUACUCAUGUGUUUAUGAUUUUACUCACAUCACUAGGGCUACUAGCGUGCCAAAAGGUUGGCACAUACAUAAGUAUCUGGAAGGACGAACCCAAAAUUCCUAUAGGGCUAUUCAGGUGGAGUUUGCUUCUGGGGAGAUGGUAACAGCAAAGUGGUUUCAGAGGUUCCUCUCCUCUCCACCCCUAUUCACAGCUUUGCAGCACAGGUUUACAGCCCUCCGCUAGUGACCAUGCAGAUGUUGGUGCAGCCACACUCUGAGAUCAGUGAGCAAAGCAAAACUCUGCAUAAAAAUUCACACAUUCUGACUCUGUAAGGUAUCCUGUUCCAGUCAGACCUCAAAAAAAGAGUCUCUGGACAGCUAUGUGGUACUCCCUGCAGGUUAGAAAUUGUACUGUUAUGCUUCCACAAACAGAUGUCCUGCAGUAGGGUUCACAAAGGAUGUUUUUAUUAUAAACUAUGUUGAGGCAGAUUUGACAAACAGGAUCAGUAGAGAACUACCUUCAGAGAAAAAAAAAAUAAGUCAUCCUUACCUUGCUAAAACUGUUAACAUUUCUCUGAUAAAGGGCAGAAGCAUUUAACAUUCAACACAAACCACUGGAAAAAAAAAAAAGCAAAGGUCCAUUUUCAUUAGACUCUUUAUUAGUCCUUCCACUUCAAUGGACAAACUGUUUUAAAACUUUACAUUCAGAACUUCCAAAAAAAUUCUCAUUGUAGAUACUUUUGGCACCACAUAGCUCUUACUCUCACUCUGAGGACUAUUUAUACAAGUUAAUGUGUCCAAAUAUGCCUGACUUUCUACUCUUGCAUCUCUGGUUUUACUUUGUUAUCCUAGCACGGUCAAGGAAGAUCCGUCUCUCAAUACCAUAAUGAAAGAGGUUAAAGUGACAAAAAUCUUCUGAAAUCUUUAAAGCACAAACAAGUUUAUAUAAUAUAUAGUUUUAUUAUUUAUUGAAACAGUUGUACAAGGUCUGCAACUGGAUUGAGAUGUCCACCACUUUAAGUUGUUUCCAUUAAGAAAUGCUGCUCAACUGCAGAAAAUGGUUAUGUAGGCAGAUUCGUAAAGCAUUGCAAAGUUCGUGAGUCAAAUGAAUCCACAGAACAGCUGUAAAUGUUGGCAGCAACUAUAGAGUUAAGAUCAGGUGGUCUGAAUAAGAAAUUCCAAAGGAUCUAGACCGCAACUUAACACAUCCUAUCAAAGCCCAAAAGUCAUCCUUAGUGAGCUACUGCAUCAGCCCUAUAGUACACACAAAUUACUGAAUACACUUAUUAAAAAUCAUAUUCCUCAUAUACAUCUUCCUGUGAAGGAGACAAAAGCAGCUACAACAUGUUCACAAUGUUAUUAAGCCCUCAUCUAUUAGAGACUAUUUCUGCUCUAAGAGGAACAUGACACAUUCUCCCAAAUUCCUUUUAGCACUCUCAUGUACUUCAGUCUUACCUCCAUUCAGCUACAUCAGCAUCUUCAUGUCUUCUCACCUGCAAGCUCCAAGUCUGAAUAAAGUGUUUUUGUAGAUGUAUUUAACCAGUAAGAACAGGAAAUGUCAGUUCAUUCUAAACAAUUAGACUUCUAACCUUCUAAAAGUAGAUUUAAAGAAGUACAAUCUUCAAUAUGUCUCCUCUGUACUAAUGUUCUCAUUCCAUUCAUAGUUAAAAUAUAGAGCUCUGCUUCAUACUCUGAUCCAGUGGUUUUCUUUCUCAGUACUGGAGCGCUUUCAACUUCAAGUUGCUUGAAUGUAAUUCUAAAUCCUGAAGUGUUUCUAUUUGACUCAGAGAAAACCCAUCAUCUCCACCAAUAGUAAUGUCAGCAACUAAGGCAUUGACAAAGUCUUUUAUUAGCAUGUCAGCUCACACUGUGCUAUCAACAUUCACAAAAUAAAGUUAUCAAAAGAAAUACAUAAAACCAAAACAUUUUUGGGUUUUCUUUUGCAUUUCUUUUUUCUUAAGUCUUAUAAUCUUACAAAUCCAGCCCACUUCUUUCCAAAAAUGAGGUGUGCUGGUUUUUGUUUUGUUUCAGCUGUUUUAAUAUCUGCAGUAUUUCCACUUCCUGAUGUAACUCUGUUGAAUAGCUCACUGAAUUACUCCAUUGGUUUGCUUUAUCCACAGCUCUCUUUGUUCAGGACCAAAAAAAUCAAAGCCACAUUUUCUCUGACCAAGGUAGUGUUCUCCUUUUUUCCUGUUUUUUAGUCACAAGGGUUCAGAAAAGACUGCCUCAAAAUUCAGUGUGAAUCUGCAGUAAUUACACCCACAAGUGAAAAGAAAUGCUUUCAGGAGAGUACCGCAGCUGUUACGUAGCAGACAUCAAAAUUACACAAUUGUUCAGGACAGGAAGUGAUGGCAUCUCUCAUUAAACUAAAACUAAACAGGAAAUAACUUUACAUAAUUAGCCAACUUGAAAUCUGGCCAGGUCAUAGGGAUUAAGAACUCUUAGAAAAGUUCGGCUCACUCUGUGUUAAUUGGCCAUGAGCAUGAUUUCAAAGCAGAGAACAUUCCAUACUGCAUAUGAUGUAGAGUACACACCAAAAAAAAAAGGUUAUAUAUGUACAAACUGACAAAAUAAGCUUCUUUUCAGCUACUAAAGGUACGUUAGCUUAAGAUUGAAGGUUUAAAUAGUUCUGUUCCUAACAUACAUUUUAGUUGGCUACCAUUAAGUUACACUAACUAAUCUUCAGCAUUUUAAAGUACAAUGAAGAAUUUCUUUCCAACACUUUCAAUACCACAAUAGAAACAACUGUACUUUUAUACCAUUUCUUAGAUAGACACAACUUAACCUAUUUUUAUUUAUUAAAGAUCUCUAGGUUGUGCAAAACUUUCAGUUUUGAGGCACAAACUAAUGUUCACUUAAGCAGUUCAGAUUAUUAGGCUUCUAGCUUCUUUAAGUGUGUACUGAUUGUUUGUAAAUAAUGUUCUAAAGACAUUAAAAUAUAAAAGUGUGUUUACAAUAACUUGAUGAUGUACCCAUAAAUUAAAAAAAAGCAACACAAACCAAUAACUGCAAGAAAGCAAACCUGGUGGGUGAAUUGAAUUACGUUGCUAAGAUCAUGUCCAUGAAGAAGGAAAAAUUGAAAAGUAGGCUAAGACACCAUUCAUCUAAGAAACACAUGUAAUUUGAUCAAAUUAAUUCCUAAUAUCUUUCAGUACAAAAUUUGCUAUUAACUACAUCUUUUCAGAAAGUGAUUUGACUUAACCUGAUAUUUCAUCACUGCAGAUAACUUGACUGAUUCAAUUAAAUAUGGCAGAUACAAUAUCUGGCAGAGUAAUUUAAGAAAAAGUAUCCAAUACAUCAAAGUGCUCUGACUCAUCUAUUUAGCCACUGGGAUAAUGACUUUUCCAAAUAAAUCGUUAAGUGAAAGAAAUACGGAAGACAUGGAUCUGAUUUCCAACAACCAAUUAAUAUAUUUCAUUUUCCUGUAUAUCACAAAUACUAUUCUUGACAAGAAAAAUAGAUUCAAAGAUAAAUUAGACAUCCUUAGAAGUUACACCUUUUAUUUUUCAUUGCCUCAUAGUCAGUAAUUUCUAGAAAUCUAUAAACUGCUAAUAAUGACAUUCUCUUUAUAGAUUAGGAUUGGGGUAGAUAAGACCUGAAAUUAUAAGCUUGUGAUUCUAGUUCUAAGUCCUCCUAAAUUCUACCUUCCCAACAGCAGACAGAAACAUUUAAAGAGAUCUGUUGUAAGUUCAGUUGCAUAAGUCAGUAAGGAAUUACAUCUAAGAUCCAGAAACUGAUUGUUUCAUAGAAACAUAGUUUACAAGAACACAUUCUAGAAGACAUCAGAAUCAUUCUUCUCCCGUGUAAUACUAUACUGACGUAAUUUUUUUUUAAUCUGUUUGUUCUCUCUUUCAUGAAUUCUUGUUUACCUAUUAUUUCUUAAUUUGACUACAUUUUCUCCAUCAUCAGUUUGAUUUCUCAACACUACAUAUUCAUUUAAAAAGCCCACAACCACCACAUGUGGCACAGCAUGGCCUAAACACAGAUCAAACUUCUUUCAGGAAUGCAGAGAAUUGAGCUGCACAUUUAGAAUUUGAAUAUUUUUCACGUUUCUGAAACGAUUGAAACAUCAAGGAUGCCUCUCACUGUCUUGUUUAUCAAAUAACUAGCCCUCUUUAAUAUGAAAGCAAGCACAGAAAGGAUCAUCUCCUCACUAGUGCAAGUUUAGAAUAAUGUAUCUUGGAGUAGAUACCAUUUAGACUUAUUAUAUAUUUGGAGAGUUUUGUUAGGCAAAAAAAUCAUAACAAGCAGCUACUUACUUCGGCAACAAAACUCACAGCCUGGCACAAAUAUACAGAUAACUAAAAACUCCCAAUCUUGGCCUUUCUGCUACCACCUCCCUUCUCUCUCUCCCCUCAGAAUACACCAGCUUCCUUUGCCACAUGUUAAAACUGUGCACAUUAAUUACCAUACCCUACAUACAGCUUUAGCAAAACUCAGUGACAAAACCUUGCCCAAAGCACUUGCUGGCAUGGUGAAGCAAUGAAUUACAGUAGUUCUGCAAAGCUACGCAAGAAUUCUCCUACAUGGAGAAAAGGUAGAGCAUUCAAAAUUAUAGACUAUAAUGGAAAUGGUUCUCAAAUUAAGUACAUUAUUGUUGUUAAUUAAGUAUGCAAAUCUCAGCUUCUAGAAGUUACCAGUAAGGAUUCCUUUGAUGCUUCUCACAACAUCAUUAUUUAAAAUAAAGAGUAUUUUUAAUUAAAAAAAGAUUUCCAUUCUUGGAUUUCAACAUAAAAUCUUAUUUACCAAAUAUAAAUUAAUACAGACGUACAACAAAGAGUCACAUUCAUUCAUAAGAUACCAAAGUUAAAAAUAAUCUCUAUGGUUCCCCCAGCAUUCUAUUAGCCUGAAUAUACCAAAUUCAACCUCCUCUUCUGAAAUACUCAAGAAAUUAUGAAGAAAACACGUAUUUUAGACUAAAAAGUGAAACAUCUGUACAGUUAACUGCUGGAUUCAGCAGCGUUUCCCUGAUCUUGACAUACUGAUGGCCUUUGGCCCACAUUCAGCCUUGGUUUUGACUUCUGGCUGCUGCAGAUGAUGCACAGCCCUGGCCCACUUCAGGUUUCCACAAUCUGACACCAAUGCAUGCAAAGCAUUGAGCCAAGAAUACCUCAGCUCCUUCCCUGUGUGCCUCUUCCCUUCCACAGAUCAGGACAGGCCUCACUGCAAGCUCAGAUGAAGCUGAAGGCACCUCCUCCAGCUGGCCACCUCUGGUGCCAGGCCUCACACCACAGCUGAGCCUCACCACUUGGUCCCAGCACUUUACACCAGGCCCAACCCAGAAGGCUGAGGGGCAGGGUGGGCUCAGACCAGCCAAACUCCCUUCUGACUGGCCACCCAGUUGUACCCACAGGGGCUGGCCAGGCUUAGUUUAAAAUCCCCUGCUCUCACAUUCAUCAUUAAACCACAGUUCUGCUUGAAGUUAGAUUUUGCUGACAUAAGACAGCCAGCAGAUGACCUCAUACAAAGAUCAUGAUUACACAAUCAAAAUUCCUCACCUGCUCACUCACUGGCAAAGAUUUUUUUAAAUACAGUGUAAUCCCAACAUGAGUGCCUUUAUUUAAAAGGUACACAGGUGUUAAGUAGGGCAAUGUUUUCAAAUGAGUCAAUUUAUGUACAUAAAAAGCAUUGGGCAACAGCAAGUUAAGUGUUUAAGGCAAAAAUUCAUGAACAUAUAGAAUAGGAAAUUACAUAUUUUCAUUCAGAGAAUGAAGGGCAGACAGCUGAAGAAAGGGGCAGCCGUCACCACAGCUUAGAUGGAACACAAGACUCAGGUCUUCAUCAGCCUUGUGUUUUGUUGCUGUAUGAAAACACGUUAAGACUGCAAAGUCAGACUCCACAAGUUCAGAAGCAAACAGAACUAAAGCUGCACACGUGACAUUCAUUUGGCCACCUUGCACACAUGAGCUGAUCAGUCUGGGGCAGUGCAGUGGGAGCUGGACUCAAGGAAGGCUGUUGUCUGCUGAGUCUCUGCUGCAGGUGCUGGAGAACAGAAUUAAUGAAAUAUUGAGCUCUUGGUGUUUAAGGAAAACAAACACCUCACAGGAGAACAGGCUUCUAUCUUUACCUCUGACAUGAAAGGUGUUUUCUUAAACUAAGCUUUCAGAUACAGUCAGUAACUAGUCUUCAUUACCAAAAUACACCAUUUGAGCACCUGGUUUCCUGAAUUACAGAGCGCUCACAACUGAAAUGGACCUGAAUUUAGAGCUGUUAUGAGCAAAGAUCAAAGAGGUAUAGAGGUCAUCCUUUUGAGAACACACCUCCCUUGCAGUCUGUGUGUCAGGCGUGGGCUCAUCCACUCCUGUGGUUUUACAACGAAUCUCUACUAAAUCGUUAGCAUUUGGUAAACGUUUAUAUUAGACCAACAUACAACACAAUUGGUCUUACACAAUUAUUCCCUUUUCAAGUCUGAAGGAAGGUCAUAACUAGGAAAUGGCAGAAGAGCUGAAAGGGAACUUGACUGGAAAAGCAGCAGGAGGCAGCUGUGUACAGGGAUGAAGGCAGAAUUUUGGCAGACAAAAACAAGUACUUCUGGGAGCAAUGGCUUUCUGAUGUUAAUUCUCAAAAUGAACAAAGGCAUGCCAGGAAAAUCUUGGUGUUUCACAGAACCACAGGGGUUGGAAGGGACCUGAAGAGACCAUCAAGUCCAAUCCCUCAGCUAAAGCAUGUACCCACACAACAGAUCACAGAGGUCAUUGCCCAGUUGGGUCCUGAGUAUCUCCAUAGGAGACUCCACUACCUCUCUGGGCAACCUGUUCCAGAGCUCCCUCACCCUUACCAUAAUGAAGUUCCCCUGCAUGUUAGUACAGUAACUUCCUAUGUACAAGUUUUAGGCCAUUACUCCUUGUCCUAUUGCUGUGUACUACUGAAAAGAACCUGGACUCAUCCUUUUGCCUUAUACAUCCCUUUAGAUAUUUAUAAACAUUUAUCAGAUCCCAUCUCAGUCUCCUUUUCCCCAGGCUGAACAGAUGCAGGUCACUCAGCCUUUCUUCAUAUGGGAGAUGCUCCAGGCCCAUCAUCUUUGUGGCCCUCCACUGGAGGCUUUCUAGGAGAUCAGUCUUUUUCUGAACACAGAGUAAACAUGGCCUCAAAAGGGCAGAGUAGAUGAAAGUUGUUGAUAAAGACAAAAGCUCCUCAUGAGUUUUUGAGGUUGUUCUUGUUCUUUACUUGGACAAUAAUCACAUUUUCUGUUUACUUUAGUCUUGGUAGAAAAUGCUAUUCAGAUUCUUCUAAGGCCCUUGUGAGUGCAAGGCUUUGAACAUCCAUUCUAGCUGGGCUGUAGGUGCUUUUGAAAAUCCUGUGUGAGUCUUCAGAUGGUCCUGGACUUUUGGAAGCCUAGAACUACUGCCUACAUAAUUUUUGAUGAGAUUGCUGGGAGGGGGUGAUACAAAAUUUCAGUCCUCCUAUUCUGGCCAAGGGAGUUUUUCUUUCCUGUUUCCUUCUUCUCCUUUUCCUUUCCCCUUCUCAUUUCCUCUUCCUAUUUCCUUUCCCAUUAUUAAAUAUUUGUCUUCAGGACCACAGUCAAACUUAAUUGCAUUUAUUUGUUUUGGAAAAUUGCUUAGAUGAUUGUUUACCACAAAGUAAACAUUAUACUUAACUCUUAUUUUGGAGUUGACAAUGAUAAAUACAGGCUGAUUCUUUUAAAGCAGUACUGUAUUUAUAUUAAGCUCUAACUUGCAGCUCUCAGAGUUUGGUGAACAUGGAAAUAAAAUACUGUGUUCUCUUUCCCUGCAUUCUCUCUCCAUUUGAAGCUGCCAGUCAUGCUUAUAUAUUAAAGACAAAAAAUAGUUUAUUAUUUUGAUAUCAAAUAGAAGAUAGAGUGCUUCAACUAACUCCACGAAUAUGCCUUAGAUGUUGAGAACAUAGUUUUUCUGCAAGUAUUUAUUCUUUACCUUAUUAAGUGACAAGGCACAGGCUAAAUGACACCUUCUGCACAAUACACAUUCUAAAUUAAGUCAGUAUUAUUAUCACAGGUACAUCACUAUAUUAGCAUGAGGGUAUUAUAAAUCUGCCCAGAAAAUAGAAAUAGUUACCAUUUAAAAAAAAGUAACUCUUUCCUCCUCUUUGAAGCUAGAUUCAAAUUUGGGAUUUUAAUUUCACAGGCAAGCAAUAAUCCACAAUUAAAUUCACUCUUCUGCAAAUGCAAACACUUUCCUUACCAGUUCUAAUAUUAAGUUUCAGACAAUGUUACUCAUUCAGCAAUGUGCUAAACUCUUAUUAUAGCCUGAGCAAAGACCGAUGAUGUUGAAGUGAAGUUCAAAAGCCCAUGAUAGGUUUCAAAGCCAACUGAUGCUCAGUUGGUUGAACCCAGAAGGCAAAAAGAAAAUAGCAUCAAGCUUCAUGAUUGUAACUGGAUCAAAAGUCCCUACUACAUUGUAAAAGGAACCUUUAACACUGAUAAUGACAUACAAGCAAAUGAAACCAGAACUUGCCUGCAGCUAUGUGGGUGCAAGCCUUACUUUCCUAGCAGAAAAGGACUGCAUUUAUUAAAAGACACAAUGGACAUACUCAAAAAUUAAAGAGGGUAACUUACCCUCAAUAUAUAUGCUCAGCCAUUUCCACAAUGAUAAAAAGUGACCUUGUCCUUUUCACGUUGCACUCAGAAAGAAUGUAUAAAUUACACCACAAAACUGAAUAAUAACUUGCAACACAGCAAUUUCCCAAAAGGUAUUAAAAAGCAGUUUGAAAGCAGUAGCACUGGAGUGGUACAGUUUGUCUUGGCUUGUGGUCUUACCCCUCUUUAUAUAUCACUGAGAUACAGUUAAUCAAUUAAAAAAAUAAUUUAUAACAUUUCUUCAAUGUAUAGCUUUCCAGAGCAAAGGCUACUUACAAGAAAGGUUUUCACCACAAGAGAAAUAAGAAGGGUACAUUGAUAUCAGUUCUUACUGUAGCACAAACUUUAACUUCACCAGCUGGUGUCACUUUGUUAACUAAUGGCAGUAAACCGUUACAAGGGGGGAAAAUGAUGGUGCAUCACAGAGGGACUUGCAUGCUGUGAUAAACGUGAAGAGAAAUAGCAUUAUGUGGUUAUGCAAUUGACUCAUUGAGCACGGAGUAUGCUUCAAAUAGCAACUUUCCUCUCUUAUGUAUAGAUUAUUUGUACAUUAAUUCUUGUAACGUUUUUAUUUUGUUAGUGUACUAUUGCUUUUCUUUCCUCCUGGGAGAUGACAUUUUUGGCAGUGCAUAUUUUCAGUAAAACCAAAGAAAUAACACCAAAACAGUGUUAUUUACACCCACACAUCUAGAACUCUCUCCUUAUUUGUUUUUGGCUAUAUUAUUGUUCUCAUAUAAAAAUUAAGAACUAACUGCAUUUUACACAGGAUUUGUUUUUAAAUAUCUCUACUACAUCACUUAAAACUUUAUACGAGCUUGUAUUUUUCAUUAUGAGGAGUCAAAAUUUUAUUAGCACAAUAUGGUAUGCUAUAAUGGAAACUGUAUACUAUGAUCUUGUCAUUCUCAUUCAGCACUACCAAUCCAUUUUGGGAGCAGAACUGAGCAUCUGUUUGACAACAUACAGCAAGCAUGUUACCAUUUAAAUAAAAAGAAACAGCAUUAACUCUGAUAUAGUGAGACAAUACUCAUACUUCCCAAACCAGUAUAAGGACUACAAUAUAAGGAGUACUAAAGUAUCAGUAUUUUUAAGUAAUAAAUAAUGAUCUAGAACAUGUAAUCACAAAUGUUGAAGACCUUGAUUUUAGGUGUAGCUUGAGAAACUAGUGGCCUACUAUCUGCAGAAGUGCUCUACUUCUCUUCACUAUACAAGACAUUGGUACAGGAGAUAAUUGAAGAAAAGAAUGCUGUCUGCUGAAUUGGUCAAAAUUUGUUCCCCAGGAUAACUCUAUUAAAAGAAUCUUAAAAAUACACUUAUAUCUUUAACUGCUUGCUUCUUAACUGGCUUUGUAUUGCUUUCCUGUACACACAAAAUAAGCUCCAGCCUUCAAAUGCAUUAUGACCCUUUUCUUAGAGCAAUGUCUAUCUAUAAUAUGAUCAAAGUUAUAGCAAUAACGAUAGAGUGACACAGCCUUGUACUACAACAAAUGGAAACAGACCCAAAUACAACAGCAACAAGUAAAUAAACAAAGGAAGAAAAAAUACAUACCUUCAGAAAGUCUCAGACACACAGAGAGCCCCACAAAGAUACCCUUGCCUCCACUGCCAACCCUUAAAUGAGAUCUGGGAAGGGGUGGAUCCUGGCUCCACCCCUUCUGGUCACUCAGGUACACGGCAUGCACCUGAACUCCCCUGGAUCGGCCCUGCCUUCCCACCAGGUGCUCAAUCAUUGCUGCAAGCCAUGAGCAAGCAUUUCUGCUAUACUCUUAUUAUGUGAAAUAUGCUCUCAUUGUCUACUGUUCUAUUUCCUGUCUAUUUAUCUUAUAUAGUGUUUAAGGCCUUCUUUUUGUUGUUAGGCACAGCAGCUAGUUCAAAAAAGAUCUCAGCUAUGUGUGCUUCCUGCUAGGGAUGAUAAGAGAAACUCACUUGAUAAUGCUUAGAAAGGGAAGGAAAAAGUGGAUUUUGGAUGAGGCUUUCAUCAAUACGUUUACACACUCUGAUGUUUCAAUGGGCCUUUUAUUUUCAAAAUAAUCUGCUAGAUGUGUGUACGGGAACUGUUGAGUCAUAGCCUGAACCACUGAUAGAGCACCUGGGGAAGGACCCGAUCAGCCCUGGGAGCACAGUUGAAGGCAAUGCAGCUGUGUGACCAGAAGGGGUGGAGCCUGGCUGCGCCUCUCUUAGUCCCCAUUUCAGGGCUGGCUGCCACUGGGGAAGGAUAUUUUCCUGGAGAUCUCUUCUUGGGGAAGCUUUCCCUUGUAAACCUGGAAUCUUUUGAUAUGGGUAAGUAAUUUUCUUCACAGCAUCUUUCUUUUGUGCCUUUCGUGUUCAUCUGUCUGAUUGCUACUAGUAAAGAAAGCAAGGUCUUUUCUUUUGCUUUCAUGGGUGCUUAAUUAUUUGUAUCCUUUUUCUGUAUAACAGCUUCCAGUUACAGAACCCAUAUUCCUCACUGUCUAGGUGAUGUUGUAAUGUAACAAAAAAUACAAGGCAGUUUCCGCAUGAAGGUGCUGAACUUGAUUUUUUUUUUUUCGCUUUCUAGAUAAGAACUCAGUUGACUACAGAAAGCUGCAGUGAUUGUACUUAAUACCUAACUCUUUUUAUACAUCCAAGUUGUAGGUUGUGUUUUUCAUGAUAAUAUUACUUAAGAAUGAUGUGGCACUUCUCUGUUUAGCCUAAACUGGGUGUUUUCUUAUUUUCUGUGCUCUGAGUAUUUACAUUUGUUUCCUUAAUAUUCUUCAUGUGUUCCAACAUGAAUGGCCGUGUUAAAGUUUCAAGGCAGCUUACAAAGGGUUUACCCAAACUUUCUGCAGUUAGUUCUAUAAUAUUUUGAGGAUAGUCAUUUGUUUUGUUAUAACAUAGCUGACACUUGAUCUCAUUUAUUAUUAAGUCAAAGGCUACUUAGACACCAAUUCCUUUAUAUUAAUGCCUUAAAUACAGAAUUGAAUUUAAGGCUGUGUUUCCUUUGUAUGCUUAAGUUGAUUUACUGGGUAACCGGAGAAAAAAGGGAAAUCCCAUUCAUUUUACAUCUCCAUUCUUUUGACUUUCAAACAUCUACUUGUCCUUAAGGCAUACUGUGACUUUAUUUCAGUUAAAGUCAUAAUGAAAUACUACCCCCCACCAAGAUGUGUUGUUUUUAUCAAUUAAGUGAUACAAAUUCACACACACAAAAAUCAUAGAGAAUGGGAGCCUAUGUAAAGGAAGGCUGUAAUCUUUGACUAUCCAUUAGUGGAGUAACAACACUAAAGGAGGAGUGAGGAAGGGGCAAAGGUAUGAGCAAGUGGAAAAGGCAAUGAGACUACCUUUGGGUAGUCACGAGCUCAGCUGUUUAAGCCUAAGUACAGAAAACUAAGUCUGUAAAUAGUAAAAAGCAUAUGCCCUGAUCUAGUCCUUACACCAGAACAUCACUACCCUGCACAAGUAUUUGUACCUUUGAAUAGGCUUGUUGCUAGGUGGGAAGAAAGGGCUGUUAAUGCUGAUAGUGCAGAUCAGUUUGUGGUACCACUGAGUGACACUUUGUAGACACCUUGAAGAUGGGAGCAUUCUCUUCUCCUUGCUGAACAGCCCCAACUCUCUGUCUGUCCUCAUGGGGAAAGCGUUUCAUCCCUUGGAUCAUUGGACCAUUAUUAUGAGUGUAAUGAGUGAGAAGCAUGUGGACUCUGAUUGCAGUGGUACUUAAUCCCCAAACUUAUACUUAAAUCCUGUUUGUUUCCUACUCAAUUCAGUAUCUGCUGAAGCAAGAUAGCUUUUGGAUUUAGCUCAUUGCAAAUUCACAUUAAGUUCUGAAAGAAAUUUCAUUAGCAAACCAUCCUUACUCUGUUCAAGAUCAGUUUUAAUCUUAAGGCUACUAAGAGCAUCAAUCUUCAUUCUUCUUUCACUAACAAUAUUGCAAACAAUGGUUUCUGGAGACUGUGAUCUCUGACCUUCAUCUGCAUUUAACAACAGCUUAACUUCCACAUUUUGUUCAGCACAGCAUUCACAAGAAAGUCUUCUAAAUCAGCCCCUGCCAGCUGCUAUUCAGUAUGUAAGACCUACUCUUAUUGUAAAAACUUUUUCC
Molecule: long non-coding RNA, 15523 nt
Filed under: Gallus gallus (chicken)
Lineage: Eukaryota; Metazoa; Chordata; Aves; Galliformes; Phasianidae
Source: RNAcentral